CCCGCACAAGCGGUGGAGCAWRWRGUUUAAUUYGAAGCAACGCGCAGAACCUUACCAUCCUUUGACAUGGCGUGUUACGUGGAGAGAUCCACGGUCUCCUUCGGGAGCGCGCACACAGGUGCUGCAUGGCUGUCGUCAGCUCGUGUCGUGAGAUGUUGGGUUAAGUCCCGCAACGAGCGCAACCCACGUCCUCAGUUGCCAUCAUUCAGUUGGGCACUCUGGGGAGACUGCCGGUGAUAAGCCGCGAGGAAGGKGUGGAUGACGUCAAGUCCUCAUGGCCCUUACGGGAUGGGCUACACACGUGCUACAAUGGCGGUGACAKUGGRACGCGRACCCGCGAGGGCAAG
This 347-nucleotide ribosomal RNA is filed under the name Methylobacterium sp. RNAcentral's name for it is "partial 16S ribosomal RNA". It matches the Rfam family "Bacterial small subunit ribosomal RNA", at positions 920 to 1267 of the family's 1533-position model. The record is from RNAcentral. Lineage: Bacteria; Pseudomonadati; Pseudomonadota; Alphaproteobacteria; Hyphomicrobiales; Methylobacteriaceae.